GUUGCAGGGUAUAGACCCGAAACCCGGUGAUCUAGCCAUGGGCAGGUUGAAGGUUGGGUAACACUAACUGGAGGACCGAACCGACUAAUGUUGAAAAAUUAGCGGAUGACUUGUGGCUGGGGGUGAAAGGCCAAUCAAACCGGGAGAUAGCUGGUUCUCCCCGAAAGCUAUUUAGGUAGCGCCUCGUGAAUUCAUCUCCGGGGGUAGAGCACUGUUUCGGCAAGGGGGUCAUCCCGACUUACCAACCCGAUGCAAACUGCGAAUACCGGAGAAUGUUAUCACGGGAGACACACGGCGGGUGCUAACGUCCGUCGUGAAGAGGGAAACAACCCAGACCGCCAGCUAAGGUCCCAAAGUCAUGGUUAAGUGGGAAACGAUGUGGGAAGGCCCAGACAGCCAGGAUGUUGGCUUAGAAGCAGCCAUCAUUUAAAGAAAGCGUAAUAGCUCACUGGUCGAGUCGGCCUGCGCGGAAGAUGUAACGGGGCUAAACCAUGCACCGAAGCUGCGGCAGCGACGCUUAUGCGUUGUUGGGUAGGGGAGCGUUCUGUAAGCCUGCGAAGGUGUGCUGUGAGGCAUGCUGGAGGUAUCAGAA
RNAcentral lists this ribosomal RNA (592 nucleotides) under Escherichia coli. RNAcentral describes it as "partial 23S ribosomal RNA". It matches the Rfam family "Bacterial large subunit ribosomal RNA", at positions 699 to 1287 of the family's 2925-position model. Lineage: Bacteria; Pseudomonadati; Pseudomonadota; Gammaproteobacteria; Enterobacterales; Enterobacteriaceae. The record is from RNAcentral.